UGUGGGGUUCUGGGGUUCUAGCCUAUUGCAGAAUGUGAGUGUUGGUUUUCCUUUCUUGUAGCAAAGCUGCCUUCUGGGCCCUGUACACAGGGAGCCAGAGGCCCAAAGCGCUGCUCAAUGGAGACAAUUCCCAGGUUCUAACCGGGAGCUGGAGCAAGAAAGUGUGUCAUCUCUGACGUAAAAGUGUCGGACACCAGAUUACCUGUAAAUACACUGUGUUGCCCUCCUUCGUGACCUGAAUGAAACUACUCUCUUUUAUCUCUUCAAACCAAAGGUUUUCUUCACGUCUGCAAAGGAGAUGAAAGAACAGGUGUCACCUGCCCAGGCUGAAUUUGAAGGGUUCGAACUGCAGGCCUCAAAAGACCCUUUACUCUAACCUCAUACAUGGGCACUGAAGAACACUGAAGGGCUUCCAUAUUACAGUAUCAAGAUUUAUUGGCUGUGAAAAGGGGGCCCAAAUUAAGUUCCUUCUCUUAACUGCUUCACUUUGGAAUGGAGAACUGAUAAU
This 508-nucleotide long non-coding RNA is filed under the name Felis catus (domestic cat). Its description in RNAcentral is "lncRNA (ENSFCAG00000052535.1)". The record is from RNAcentral. Lineage: Eukaryota; Metazoa; Chordata; Mammalia; Carnivora; Felidae.